UGGGGAAUAUUGGACAAUGGGCGAAAGCCUGAUCCAGCCAUGCCGCGUGAGUGAUGAAGGCCCUAGGGUUGUAAAGCUCUUUCACCGGUGAAGAUAAUGACGGUAACCGGAGAAGAAGCCCCGGCUAACUUCGUGCCAGCAGCCGCGGUAAUACGAAGGGGGCUAGCGUUGUUCGGAAUUACUGGGCGUAAAGCGCACGUAGGCGGACUAUUAAGUCAGGGGUGAAAUCCCGGGGCUCAACCCCGGAACUGCCUUUGAUACUGGUAGUCUCGAGUCCGGAAGAGGUGAGUGGAACUCCGAGUGUAGAGGUGAAAUUCGUAGAUAUUCGGAAGAACACCAGUGGCGAAGGCGGCUCACUGGUCCGGUACUGACGCUGAGGUGCGAAAGCGUGGGGAGCAAACA
Molecule: ribosomal RNA, 402 nt
Filed under: uncultured bacterium
Lineage: Bacteria
Description: bacterial SSU rRNA
Rfam family: Bacterial small subunit ribosomal RNA
Source: RNAcentral